This 273-nucleotide ribosomal RNA is filed under the name uncultured marine eukaryote. RNAcentral describes it as "partial 18S ribosomal RNA". It matches the Rfam family "Eukaryotic small subunit ribosomal RNA", at positions 612 to 889 of the family's 1831-position model. The record is from RNAcentral.
GUUGCGGUUAAAAAGCUCGUAGUUGGAUUUCUGUCGGUGAGUGGCAGUGCGGCCUCGUGUCUGUAACUAGUCGCGCCACCGGCAUCUUCCUGGGGACUGUAUCUGCUCUUAACUGAGUGGUGCAUAAUCCAGGACUUUUACUUUGAAGAAAUAGGAGUGUUUCAAGCAGGCAUGCGCCGUGAACACGUUAGCAUGGAAUAAUAGCAUCGGACCUCGUUCCAAAGCUGUUGGUUUCCUUGGAGCGAGGUAAAGGUGAUAGGGAUUGUUGGGGGC